CCUACGGGUGGCUGCAGUGGGGAAUAUUGGACAAUGGGGGCAACCCUGAUCCAGCCAUGCCGCGUGUGUGAAGAAGGCCCUCGGGUUGUAAAGCACUUUCAGUGAGGAAGAACGCCUGGUGGUUAAUACCCAUCAGGAAAGACAUCACUCACAGAAGAAGCACCGGCUAACUCCGUGCCAGCAGCCGCGGUAAUACGGAGGGUGCGAGCGUUAAUCGGAAUUACUGGGCGUAAAGCGCGCGUAGGUGGCUUGAUAAGCCGGUUGUGAAAGCCCCGGGCUCAACCUGGGAGCGGCAUCCGGAACUGUCAAGCUAGAGUGCAGGAGAGGAAGGUAGAAUUCCCGGUGUAGCGGUGAAAUGCGUAGAGAUCGGGAGGAAUACCAGUGGCGAAGGCGGCCUUCUGGACUGACACUGACACUGAGGUGCGAAAGCGUGGGUAGCAAACAGGAUUAGAUACCCCAGUAGUC
Molecule: ribosomal RNA, 465 nt
Filed under: Vreelandella stevensii
Lineage: Bacteria; Pseudomonadati; Pseudomonadota; Gammaproteobacteria; Oceanospirillales; Halomonadaceae
Description: partial 16S ribosomal RNA
Rfam family: Bacterial small subunit ribosomal RNA
Source: RNAcentral